Small nucleolar RNA from Pelodiscus sinensis (Chinese soft-shelled turtle), 66 nucleotides. It matches the Rfam family "Small nucleolar RNA SNORD104". Rfam says of the family: The members of this family belong to the C/D class of snoRNAs which contain the C (UGAUGA) and D (CUGA) box motifs. Most of the members of the box C/D family function in directing site-specific 2'-O-methylation of substrate RNAs. NCBI's taxonomy places the organism in Eukaryota, Metazoa, Chordata, Testudines, Trionychidae. The record is from Rfam.
GUCAUGAUGAUUGUCCUUACACGUGUUAGAACUUCUGACACAGAUGAAGUGAAACCAAGUCUGAGC